Molecule: ribosomal RNA, 498 nt
Filed under: uncultured bacterium
Lineage: Bacteria
Description: partial 16S ribosomal RNA
Rfam family: Bacterial small subunit ribosomal RNA
Source: RNAcentral
GAUGAACGCUAGCGGCAGGCCUAAUACAUGCAAGUCGAACGAUAGAAGAGGGCUUGCUCUCUUCGAAAGUGGCGCACGGGUGCGUAACGCGUAUGCAACCUACCUUAAUCAGGGGGAUAGCCCGAAGAAAUUCGGAUUAACACCGCAUAAAAUCACAGUACAGCAUUGUACAAUGAUCAAAUAUUUAUAGGAUUAAGAUGGGCAUGCGUGACAUUAGCUAGUUGGCGGGGUAACGGCCCACCAAGGCGACGAAGUCUAGGGGAUCUGAGAGGAUGACCCCCCACACGGGUACUGGGACACGGACCAGACUCCUACGGGAGGCAGCAGUAAGGAAUAUUGGUCAAUGGAGGCAACUCUGAACCAGCCAUGCCGCGUGCAGGAAGACGGCCCUCUGGGUUGUAAACUGCUUUUAUUCGGGAAUAAACCUCAUUAUGUAUAGUGAGCUGAAUGUACCGAAGGAAUAAGGAUCGGCUAACUCCGUGCCAGCCGCCGCAGUAA